Molecule: ribosomal RNA, 465 nt
Filed under: uncultured bacterium
Lineage: Bacteria
Description: partial 16S ribosomal RNA
Rfam family: Bacterial small subunit ribosomal RNA
Source: RNAcentral
CCUACGGGAGGCAGCAGUGGGGAAUAUUGCGCAAUGGGCGAAAGCCUGACGCAGCGACGCCGCGUGAGGGAUGAAGGUCUUCGGAUCGUAAACCUCUGUCAGCAGGGAAGAACGGUCACUGUGCUAAUCAGCAGUGAAUUGACGGUACCUGCAAAGGAAGCACCGGCUAACUCCGUGCCAGCAGCCGCGGUAAUACGGAGGGUGCGAGCGUUAAUCGGAAUUACUGGGCGUAAAGCGGUCGUAGGCGGUAUGUCAAGUCAAGGGUGAAAUCCCCGCGCUGAACGUGGGAACUGCCUUUGAAACUGGCGGACUGGAGUGUGGGAGAGGAUAGUGGAAUUCCAGGUGUAGGGGUGAAAUCCGUAGAUAUCUGGAGGAACAUCAGUGGCGAAGGCGACUAUCUGGCACAUAACUGACGCUGAGGAGCGAAAGCGUGGGUAGCAAACAGGAUUAGAUACCCUUGUAGUC